RNAcentral lists this ribosomal RNA (560 nucleotides) under uncultured Glomus. RNAcentral's name for it is "SSU rRNA". It matches the Rfam family "Eukaryotic small subunit ribosomal RNA", at positions 546 to 1106 of the family's 1831-position model. The record is from RNAcentral. Lineage: Eukaryota; Fungi; Glomeromycota; Glomeromycetes; Glomerales; Glomeraceae.
AAUUGGAGGGCAAGUCUGGUGCCAGCAGCCGCGGUAAUUCCAGCUCCAAUAGCGUAUAUUAAAGUUGUUGCAGUUAAAAAGCUCGUAGUUGAAUUUCGGGAUCAAUAUUUCGGUCAUGCCGUUGGUAUGCACUGUUAUCAUUGAUUUCUCACCUUCUAAAGAACCGUAAUGCCAUUAAUUUGGUGUUACGGGGAAUUAGGACUGUUACCUUGAAAAAAUUAGAGUGUUUAAAGCAGGCUCACGCUUGAAUACAUUAGCAUGGAAUAAUGAAAUAGGACAUCCGAUUCUAUUUUGUUGGUUUCUAGGAUCGAUGUAAUGAUUAAUAGGGAUAGUUGGGGGCAUCAGUAUUCAAUUGUCAGAGGUGAAAUUCUUGGAUUUAUUGAAGACUAACUACUGCGAAAGCAUUUGCCAAGGAUGUUUUCAUUAAUCAAGAACGAAAGUUAGGGGAUCGAAGACGAUCAGAUACCGUCGUAGUCUUAACCAUAAACUAUGCCGACUAGGGAUCGGAUGAUGUUAAUUUUUUAAUGACUCAUUCGGCGCCUUACGGGAAACCAAAGUGU